UGCAGGCUACAACCCGCCUGCAUGAAGUUGGAAUCGCUAGUAAUCGCGGAUCAGCAUGCCGCGGUGAAUACGUUCCCGGGCCUUGUACACACCGCCCGUCACACCAUGAGAGUCGGGAACACCCGAAGUCCGUAGCCUAACCGCAAGGGGGGCGCGGCCGAAGGUGGGUUCGAUAAUUGGGGUGAAGUCGUAACAAGGUAUC
RNAcentral lists this ribosomal RNA (202 nucleotides) under uncultured bacterium. Its description in RNAcentral is "partial 16S ribosomal RNA". It matches the Rfam family "Bacterial small subunit ribosomal RNA", at positions 1299 to 1500 of the family's 1533-position model. The record is from RNAcentral.